UACCCCGUGGUGUAAUUGGUAACACAAGGGAUUUUGGUUCCCUCGUUUAAGGUUCGAGUCCUUACGGGGUAA
RNAcentral lists this transfer RNA (72 nucleotides) under Planctomycetales bacterium. RNAcentral describes it as "tRNA-Gln". It matches the Rfam family "tRNA". Rfam says of the family: Transfer RNA (tRNA) molecules are approximately 80 nucleotides in length. Their secondary structure includes four short double-helical elements and three loops (D, anti-codon, and T loops). Lineage: Bacteria; Pseudomonadati; Planctomycetota; Planctomycetia; Planctomycetales. The record is from RNAcentral.